UCUGAACUGAACCGAACCGGAUCCGAACCGAACCAGAGCCUGUCUGAACCGAACCGAACAGGAUUCAACUUAAACCAAAGCGAAUCCGAUCAGAACUAAACCGAACCGGAUCCGAACCAAACCAGAUCCUAUCUAAACCGAGCCGGACUGGAUUCAACUUGAACUAAAGUGAAUCCGAUCCAAACUGAACCGAACCGGAUCCGAACUGAACCGGAUCCUGUCUGAACCGAACCGAACAGGAUUUAACUUGAACUAAAGUGGAUCCGAUCCAUAC
RNAcentral lists this long non-coding RNA (274 nucleotides) under Ananas comosus (pineapple). Its description in RNAcentral is "long non-coding RNA (ACOM_LNC000477)". Lineage: Eukaryota; Viridiplantae; Streptophyta; Magnoliopsida; Poales; Bromeliaceae. The record is from RNAcentral.